GGUCAUGAGUGUCAGCGACAAGCCCUGGCUCGCUGGCCGGCAACCCUCGCGCCGCGGUGGGGUGCCCCAGGUGACGACCGGACCGGAGACAUCUCGGUAAGCGCGAAGG
This 109-nucleotide non-coding RNA is filed under the name Streptomyces mangrovisoli. RNAcentral describes it as "SAM-IV sequence". It matches the Rfam family "SAM (S-adenosyl methionine) riboswitch aptamer". Rfam says of the family: SAM-IV is a mRNA element that regulates gene expression via direct sensing of S-adenosylmethionine (SAM or AdoMet). SAM-IV riboswitches share conserved nucleotide positions with the previously described SAM-I riboswitches sequence analysis and molecular recognition experiments suggest that SAM-I and SAM-IV riboswitches share similar ligand binding sites, but have different scaffolds. Lineage: Bacteria; Bacillati; Actinomycetota; Actinomycetes; Kitasatosporales; Streptomycetaceae. The record is from Rfam by way of RNAcentral.